This 998-nucleotide ribosomal RNA is filed under the name Lophodermium brunneolum. RNAcentral's name for it is "mitochondrial SSU rRNA". It matches the Rfam family "Bacterial small subunit ribosomal RNA", at positions 1 to 1143 of the family's 1533-position model. Lineage: Eukaryota; Fungi; Ascomycota; Leotiomycetes; Rhytismatales; Rhytismataceae. The record is from RNAcentral.
UUGGGAGACGAAUAGUCCUCUUAUGAGGCUAGUUAGGUUUUUUUGAGUAAUGCAUCAGCACUUUUACUUCUUGCCUGGCAAUGGCGAAGUAUUAUAAUGAUUUAAUUACAAAAAGAAAAACAUAAUACCAACUACGUUGGAUAAAGUUCUAGGUAGAAUAUUUAUAAUGACUAUUUUCUAUCUACUUGUCUUGACCAAAUUACGUGCCAGCAGUCGCGGUAAUACGUAGAAGACGAGUGUUGUCCAUCUUUAAUAGGUUUAAAGGGUACCUAGACGGCAUAGAUUAGCCCAAAAUAGGGUUCUAUUCUUUUGCUAGAGUUUUAUGUGAGAAGGGGAGUAUUUUGAGUGGAGGGAUAAAAUCCUGUCAUACCAUAAGGACUGGUGCCGGCGAAAGCAGCCUUUUAUGUAAAAACUGACGUUGAGGGACGGAGGCUUGGACAGCGAACAGGAUUAGAUACCCUAGUAGUCCUUGCAGAGAAUGAUGAAUGCCAUAGAUUAGAUAAAAAUAUUAUUUUGGUUUAUAAAUGAAAGUGUAAGCAUUCCACCUUAAGAGUACUGUGGCAACGCUGGAACUAAAAUCAUUAGACCGUUUCUGAGAACAGUAGUGAAGUAUGUUGCUUAAUUCGGUGAUCCACGAAAAACCUUACCACAACUUGAAUAGUGUCAUUUAAUGGAGAGGUUCUAUUACCUCUUUUCCUUAUUUUUUUCUCUAAUACUAUUGAAUAUUUAUUAGAGUAGUUAUAUCUACUAUUUUACAUAAUUUUUCUCUAAAGUGUGUGUAUAUUAUUUCGUAAUAAUGAGAUAUAAAUAAAGGUAUUUAUAGGUAAAACUAUUAGAGGUAUAAGUACCCCCUCCUUCGUGAUGUUACAAGUGUUGCACGGUUGUCUUCAGCUAAUGUCGUGAGACUAUGGUUAGUUCCUUUAAAUUAGCGAAAACCCCGGUUUUAUUUUUAAAUUCUUAUCAUAAAACAGUUCAUCAGUACAUUGAAUACAUGAUAA